This 522-nucleotide ribosomal RNA is filed under the name uncultured bacterium. Its description in RNAcentral is "bacterial SSU rRNA". It matches the Rfam family "Bacterial small subunit ribosomal RNA", at positions 791 to 1278 of the family's 1533-position model. The record is from RNAcentral.
UAGUCCACGCCGUAAACGAUGUCUACUAGCCGUUGGGAGACUUGAUUUCUUAGUGGCGCAGCUAACGCAAUAAGUAGACCGCCUGGGGAGUACGGCCGCAAGGUUAAAGCUUAAAAUGAAUUGACGGGGGCCCGCACAGGCGGUGGAGCGUGUGGUUUAAUUCGAAGCAACGCGCAGAACCUUACCAACCCUUGACAUGUGUAUCGAGAUUUCUGGAGACAGAUUUCGUCAGUUCGGCUGGAUACAACACAGGUGCUGCAUGGCUGUCGUCAGCUCGUGUCGUGAGAUGUUCGGUUAAGUCCGGCAACGAGCGCAACCCACGUCCUUAGUUGCCAGCAGUUAAGCUGGGCACUCUAAGGAAACUGCCGUGAUAAGCGGAGGAAGGUGUGGAUGACGUCAAGUCCUCAUGGCCUUACGGUUGGGCGUACGACACGUGCGUACAAUGGCAGUGACAAUGGGUUAAAUCCGAAAAAACUACGUACUACUAGUCGUAUUAGGGUCGUGUCGAACUACGACCCCGUA